Molecule: ribosomal RNA, 400 nt
Filed under: uncultured bacterium
Lineage: Bacteria
Description: bacterial SSU rRNA
Rfam family: Bacterial small subunit ribosomal RNA
Source: RNAcentral
UGGGGGAUAUUGCACAAUGGGCGCAAGCCUGAUGCAGCGACGCCGCGUGGGUGAAGAAGUACCUCGGUACGUAAAGCCCUAUCAGCAGGGAAGAAAAUGACGGUACCUGACUAAGAAGCUCCGGCUAAAUACGUGCCAGCAGCCGCGGUAAUACGUAUGGAGCAAGCGUUAUCCGGAUUUACUGGGUGUAAAGGGAGCGUAGGCGGCAUACCAAGCCUGAUGUGAAAACCCGGGGCCCAACCCCGGGAGUGCAUUGGGAACUGGCAAGCUAGAGUGUCGGAGAGGCAGGCGGAAUUCCUAGUGUAGCGGUGAAAUGCGUAGAUAUUAGGAGGAACACCAGUGGCGAAGGCGGCCUGCUGGACGAUGACUGACGCUGAGGCUCGAAAGCGUGGGGAGCAAA